CAAUAGCGUAUAUUAAAGUUGUUGCAGUUAAAAGCUCGUAGUUGGAUUUCGGAGUGGGCCAGUUGGUCCGCCGCAAGGUGUGUUACUGACUGGUUUGCUCUUCUUCGCAAAGACUGCGUGUGCCCUUAAAUGAGUGUGCGUAGGAUUUACGACGUUUACUUUGAAAAAAUUAGAGUGUUCAAAGCAGGCUAUUGCUUGAAUACAUGAGCAUGGAAUAAUGGAAUAGGACUUUGGUCCCAUUUUGUUGGUUUCUAGGGCCGAAGUAAUGAUUAAGAGGGACAAUUGGGGGCAUCCGUAUUUCGUUGUCAGAGGUGAAAUUCUUGGAUUUACGAAAGACGAACAACUGCGAAAGCACUUGCCAAGAGUGUUUUCAUUAAUCAAGAACGAAAGUUAGAGGAUCGAAGACGAUCAGAU
RNAcentral lists this ribosomal RNA (414 nucleotides) under uncultured eukaryote. RNAcentral describes it as "SSU rRNA". It matches the Rfam family "Eukaryotic small subunit ribosomal RNA", at positions 592 to 1013 of the family's 1831-position model. The record is from RNAcentral.